Molecule: transfer RNA, 72 nt
Filed under: Alosa alosa (allis shad)
Lineage: Eukaryota; Metazoa; Chordata; Actinopteri; Clupeiformes; Clupeidae
Description: tRNA-OTHER
Source: RNAcentral
GCCGUGGUCCACUGGUUAGCACUCUGGACUUGUAACCAGAGGGUUGCCGGUUCGAACCCCGACCAGUAGGCA